RNAcentral lists this unclassified non-coding RNA (378 nucleotides) under plant metagenome. RNAcentral describes it as "partial contains 5.8S ribosomal RNA, internal transcribed spacer 2, and large subunit ribosomal RNA". The stretch from base 1 to 105 matches the Rfam family "5.8S ribosomal RNA", at positions 50 to 154 of the family's 154-position model. The record is from RNAcentral.
GAAAUGCGAUAAGUAAUGUGAAUUGCAGAAUUCAGUGAAUCAUCGAAUCUAUGAACGCAUCUUGCGCUCCUUGGUAUUCCUUGGAGCAUGCCUGUUUGAGUAUCAUGAAAUCUUCAAAGUAAAUCUUUUGUUAACUCAAUUGGUUUCUACUUUGGUAUUGGAGGUCUUUGCAGCUUCACACCUGCUCCUCUUUGUUCAUUAGCUGGAUCUCAGUGUUAUGCUUGGUUCCACUCGGCGUGAUAAGUUAUCUAUCGCUGAGGACACUGUAAAAGGUGGCCAAGGUAAAUGCAGAUGAACCGCUUCUAAUAGUCCAUUGACUUGGACAAUACUUUUAUGAUCUGAUCUCAAAUCAGGUAGGACUACCCGCUGAACUUAAGC